CAAUUGAAGACGGAAACUGACCAAAAAA
Molecule: small RNA, 28 nt
Filed under: Arabidopsis thaliana (thale cress)
Lineage: Eukaryota; Viridiplantae; Streptophyta; Magnoliopsida; Brassicales; Brassicaceae
Description: ATSL135930
Source: RNAcentral